AGUGAACGCUGGCGGCGUGCCUAAUACAUGCAAGUCGAACGGAAUUUAAAAGAGCUUGCUCUUUUGAAUUUAGUGGCGCACGGGUGAGUAAUAUAUAGCUAAUCUGCCCCUUGCUGGAGGACAACAGUUAGAAAUGACUGCAAAUACUCCAUACUCCUUUUUACCAUAAGAUAAAUCGGGAAAGAAUUUCGGCAAGGGAUGAGACUAUAUCGUAUCAGCUAGUCGGUGGGGUAACGGCCUACCGAGGCUAUGACGCGUAACUGGUCUGAGAGGAUGAUCAGUCACAUUGGAACUGAGACACGGUCCAAACUCCUACGGGAGGCAGCAGUAGGGAAUAUUGCGCAAUGGGGGAAACCCUGACGCAGCAACGCCGCGUGGAGGAUGACACUUUUCGGAGCGUAAACUCCUUUUGUUAGGGAAGAAUAAUGACGGUACCUAACGAAUAAGCACCGGCUAA
RNAcentral lists this ribosomal RNA (457 nucleotides) under Campylobacter gracilis. RNAcentral's name for it is "bacterial SSU rRNA". It matches the Rfam family "Bacterial small subunit ribosomal RNA", at positions 29 to 500 of the family's 1533-position model. Lineage: Bacteria; Pseudomonadati; Campylobacterota; Epsilonproteobacteria; Campylobacterales; Campylobacteraceae. The record is from RNAcentral.